UAGAGAAAGGUCCAGGCAACAAAGAGCCCGCAAAACACCCGAGAGAAGACAGCCCAUAAAUACUCAGGGGCAAAAAACAUACACGAGAGUCCAACGCUCAGACAAAAAUAAUAAAAAGGCAAGAAAGGGAUACUUUCGACAAGAGCAGUUCUCAGACCACACGGUCAUGAAUAGAGUUUAAAGAUUUAUCCCCUCCCCAGUCAUGGAAUAACUGCUGAGGAGAUAAAGGGGCAAUUGAUGAUCGCUGGAUUUCUUCACCCCGGUCUAAAGGCCAGGCCCAUGAAAACAGUCCAUGAUCCGAAGGCUUCAAUAUUCCCCUCGAGAGCCAGGUCCAGCCCGCUCAGUCACAGGGCCGGACUCUGCCUAGACUCCUCAAUCAAGCCGGCCCAAACCUCUCGGCCCAGUAAUCAGGCCCUCACCAGGCUCAACUUCAGCCCUACCAUUCAACCCAGCCCGGAAAGGGGAAAAUGACCAAGAUGCCCCACUGGUAGGUCCUUCCGCAUGCGUAUCAGAGGAGAAU
RNAcentral lists this long non-coding RNA (520 nucleotides) under Manihot esculenta (cassava). Its description in RNAcentral is "long non-coding RNA (MESC_LNC013144)". The record is from RNAcentral. Lineage: Eukaryota; Viridiplantae; Streptophyta; Magnoliopsida; Malpighiales; Euphorbiaceae.